Molecule: long non-coding RNA, 413 nt
Organism: Mus pahari (shrew mouse)
Lineage: Eukaryota; Metazoa; Chordata; Mammalia; Rodentia; Muridae
Exons: 3
Source: RefSeq, a predicted model, not a curated record
GGCUGCAAGGAGACAGAGAACAUGAAGUGCCUAGAAUUUGGUUUAAUGAUUAUCUGACUUUUAAAAAGUCGUUAUUCCAUUAUUUACAUGUGGCUUUAUCAUUUACGGGUGAACAUAUUACAAGACCAUAUACUUUUAACAGGAUAACUAAAGAAGAAGGCUGCUUAAGACACUACUAAAGAAAGGCUGUAGGCAAUCCAAGGGUUAAAGUAAGGAGUGAAGCAGAAAGCAGCGACUUCAGAAGCCAGGGCAUUGCAAAGAAGACAGAUGGCAGCAUUACCCAUCAGCAUAACAGUUGUAUAUCGCUGCUGCUGAUAGAAUGACCUGCUGUUGCUGAAGAAGGAACAUCCUGACAGGAAGCAGAGGAGCAGACCCAUGAUUCCCCCAGCAGACAUGAAAAGUGAAGCUCCUAA